UCAAGGGGUUAAGGUUUGUUGGUGAGCCUGUAAAAUCAAUGGGGAUGUUUAUGAGCCGGAAAAAACAAACGGAGCGGUUUUAGUCGGUGAGCCAGGGAAAACCGACCAGGUUCGUUGUGAUACUGCGAAAACAAUAAGUUGGGUUGUGAGCUUGUAAAACUACUGGGCUGUAAUCUUGAGAUUAUAGUGAACUCCCAAGAGAAGCUUAGGGAGUGGAUGUAGGAGCCAGGGUUGGCUCCGAACCACUAUAAAAACCUUGUGUUUGUGUUGUGAUCUAUCUUACUUUACUUCUUUACCGCUUUCUUAUAGAUUACUCAAUUAUAUUUACUUAAAAUCAAGAAAGCUUUCUUAUAGAUUACUUAAUUACAUUUGCUUAAAAGUUUGGAACAGCCAAACCACAUAAGGAAUCAAAAUUAAACCCAUACCCGGCCUUGUUACCCAUAUCGUCCAUCCCUUGCAAAUCAGUAUCUUACUAGCUAAAGGGGGN
RNAcentral lists this long non-coding RNA (487 nucleotides) under Phoenix dactylifera (date palm). Its description in RNAcentral is "long non-coding RNA (PDAC_LNC010034)". Lineage: Eukaryota; Viridiplantae; Streptophyta; Magnoliopsida; Arecales; Arecaceae. The record is from RNAcentral.